GCAAGCAGAAAGUAAUCAAGGCGGCAAGCACCUCCAUGCUAGCACAUAGCAAUGUCAUUCAUGCAAGCAGGCAGCGACCUCAGCGUGCAGGCAAAUCUACGAGAUAGUCACAAGACAAAAAGCAGAGCCAAAAA
This 134-nucleotide long non-coding RNA is filed under the name Dermacentor andersoni. RNAcentral's name for it is "uncharacterized LOC126521848". Lineage: Eukaryota; Metazoa; Arthropoda; Arachnida; Ixodida; Ixodidae. The record is from RNAcentral.